CGGUGGAGCAAGUCAGUGGUGAAAGCCCGGGGCUUAACUCCGGGAUUGCCAUUGAAACUGUUUCACUUGAGUGGAGUCGAGGACGGCGUAAUGAGUUGUGUAGCGGUGAAAUGCAUAGAUAUAACUCAGAACACCGAUUGCGAAGGCAGCUGUCUAGGCUACAACUGACGCUGAGGCACGAAAGCGUGGGGAGCGAGCAGGAUUAGAUACCCUGGUAGUCCACGCAGUAAACGAUGAUCACUCGUUGCUGGCUACGUAGUAGUCAGUGACUAAGGGAAACCAUUAAGUGAUCCACCUGGGGAGUACGUCGGCAACGAUGAAACUCAAAGGAAUUGACGGGGGCCCGCACAAGCGGAGGAACAUGUGGUUUAAUUCGAUGAUACGCGAGGAACCUUACCUGGGCUUAAAUGCAGGCUGCAUUUCCGCGAAAGCGGAAUUUCCUACGGGACCGCUUGCAAGGUGCUGCAUGGUUGUCGUCAGCUCGUGCCGUGAGGUGUCGGGUUAAGUCCCAUAACGAGCGCAACCCUUAUCGCUAGUUGCCAGCAUGUAAUGGUGGGGACUCUAGCGAGACUGCCGGUGUAAACCGGAGGAAGGUGGGGAUGACGUCAAAUCAGCACGGCCCUUACGUCCAGGGCUACACACGUGUUACAAUGGCCGGUACAAAGAGCAGCCACCUGGCGACAGGGUGCUAAUCUUUAAAGCCGGUCUCAGUUCGGAUCGAAGUCUGCAAUUCGACUUCGUGAAGGUGGAUUCGCUAGUAAUCGCGCAUCAGCCAUGGCGCGGUGAAUAAGUUCCCGGGCCUUGUACACACCGCCCGUCAAGC
This 823-nucleotide ribosomal RNA is filed under the name uncultured Bacteroidota bacterium. Its description in RNAcentral is "bacterial SSU rRNA". It matches the Rfam family "Bacterial small subunit ribosomal RNA", at positions 576 to 1402 of the family's 1533-position model. Lineage: Bacteria; Pseudomonadati; Bacteroidota. The record is from RNAcentral.